GACGAACGCUGGCGGCGUGCUUAACACAUGCAAGUCGAGCGAGGCCCUCCUUCGGGGGGUGCCCUAGCGGCGAACGGGUGAGUAACACGUGGGCAACCUGCCCUCAGCUCUGGGAUAACUCCAAGAAAUUGGUGCUAAUACCGGAUGUGACCGCUGACCGCAUGGUCUGGUGGUGGAAAGAUUCAUCGGCUGAGGAUGGGCCCGCGGCCUAUCAGCUUGUUGGGGGGUAAUGGCCUACCAAGGCGACGACGGGUAGCCGGCCUGAGAGGGUGACCGGCCACACUGGGACUGAGACACGGCCCAGACUCCUACGGGAGGCAGCAGUGGGGAAUAUUGCGCAAUGGGCGAAAGCCUGACGCAGCGACGCCGCGUGAGGGAUGACGGCC
This 386-nucleotide ribosomal RNA is filed under the name uncultured bacterium. RNAcentral describes it as "bacterial SSU rRNA". It matches the Rfam family "Bacterial small subunit ribosomal RNA", at positions 28 to 416 of the family's 1533-position model. The record is from RNAcentral.